This 188-nucleotide small nuclear RNA is filed under the name Xenopus laevis (African clawed frog). RNAcentral describes it as "RNA, U2 small nuclear (rnu2)". It matches the Rfam family "U2 spliceosomal RNA". From Rfam's summary of the family: U2 is a small nuclear RNA (snRNA) component of the spliceosome (involved in pre-mRNA splicing). Complementary binding between U2 snRNA (in an area lying towards the 5' end but 3' to hairpin I) and the branchpoint sequence (BPS) of the intron results the bulging out of an unpaired adenosine, on the BPS, which initiates a nucleophilic attack at the intronic 5' splice site, thus starting the first of two transesterification reactions that mediate splicing. The record is from RNAcentral. Lineage: Eukaryota; Metazoa; Chordata; Amphibia; Anura; Pipidae.
AUCGCUUCUCGGCCUUUUGGCUAAGAUCAAGUGUAGUAUCUGUUCUUAUCAGUUUAAUAUCUGAUACGUCCCCUAUCUGGGGACCAUAUAUUAAAUGGAUUUUUGGAACAGGGAGUUGGAAGAAGAGCUUGCUCUGUCCACUCCACGCAUCGACCUGGUAUUGCAGUACCUCCAGGACCGGUGCACUU